UACGUAGGGGGCAAGCGUUGUCCGGAAUUAUUGGGCGUAAAGAGCGCGUAGGCGGUCCGAUAAGUCGGCUGUGAAAGUCAGGGGCUCAACCCUUGGAAGCCGGCCGAUACGUGUCGGACUAGAGUCCGGAAGAGGCAAGUGGAAUUCCCGGUGUAGCGGUGAAAUGCGCAGAUAUCGGGAGGAACACCAAUGGCGAAGGCAGCUUGCUGGGACGGUACUGACGCUGAGGCGCGAAAGCGAUGGGGAGCGAACGGAGGA
This 258-nucleotide ribosomal RNA is filed under the name uncultured bacterium. Its description in RNAcentral is "partial 16S ribosomal RNA". It matches the Rfam family "Bacterial small subunit ribosomal RNA", at positions 524 to 779 of the family's 1533-position model. The record is from RNAcentral.